This 402-nucleotide ribosomal RNA is filed under the name Bacteroidota bacterium. RNAcentral's name for it is "Bacteroidetes bacterium partial 16S ribosomal RNA". It matches the Rfam family "Bacterial small subunit ribosomal RNA", at positions 355 to 776 of the family's 1533-position model. The record is from RNAcentral. Lineage: Bacteria; Pseudomonadati; Bacteroidota.
UGGGGAAUAUUGCGCAAUGGGGGAAACCCUGAUGCAGCGACGCCGCGUGAUUUAGAAGGCCUUCGGGUUGUAAAAAUCUUUUGUAUAGGAAGAAAAUGACAGUACUAUACGAAUAAGGACCGGCUAAUUACGUGCCAGCAGCCGCGGUAAUACGUAAGGUCCGAGCGUUGUCCGGAAUCAUUGGGCGUAAAGGGUACGUAGGCGGGUAAGCAAGUUAGAAGUGAAAUCCUAUAGCUCAACUAUAGUAAGCUUUUAAAACUGCUCAUCUUGAGGUAUGGAAGGGAAAGUGGAAUUCCUAGUGUAGCGGUGAAAUGCGCAGAUAUUAGGAGGAAUACCGGUGGCGAAGGCGACUUUCUGGCCAUAACCUGACGCUGAGGUACGAAAGCGUGGGUAGCAAACAGG